AAGGAUAUAGCGCAGUUUGGUAGCGUACUUGAUUUGGGAUUAAGUGGCUGUAGGUUCAAAUCCUUCUAUCCCGA
RNAcentral lists this transfer RNA (74 nucleotides) under Lepidodinium chlorophorum. RNAcentral describes it as "tRNA-Pro". It matches the Rfam family "tRNA". Rfam says of the family: Transfer RNA (tRNA) molecules are approximately 80 nucleotides in length. Their secondary structure includes four short double-helical elements and three loops (D, anti-codon, and T loops). Lineage: Eukaryota; Dinophyceae; Gymnodiniales; Gymnodiniaceae. The record is from RNAcentral.